Molecule: long non-coding RNA, 596 nt
Organism: Hyaena hyaena (striped hyena)
Lineage: Eukaryota; Metazoa; Chordata; Mammalia; Carnivora; Hyaenidae
Exons: 4
Source: RefSeq, a predicted model, not a curated record
CUAGAGGCCCAGCGGAGGGAAACAUAUGUUGGCUUCAGUGACCCACUUGUUCCUUGAGGAGAACACCCAUUUCUACCUAAGAACAGCCCCAGAGGCCUAUGGACUUUAAACAUUGUUCUGAACAGACUCAUCUCAGAGGACAAAGCAGGUGGUGAUCAGAGAACGCAGAGACCUCAGAAGAAUUUUAUGGCAUUCCAGGCAGGACAUGGACCAGCCUGGGAAAAAGCAGAAAUAAGAGCUGGCAAUACAGAGAAUGCUACUAGGAAGUUAUUUCUGAAGAGAAACAAUGGGCCUGAGCAGCAGCCUACUAAACUAUAAUCAACGAGAGACUUACAAGCCUCAGGAGCAAUGGCGACAUCUUUCCAGUGAAACCUGCGAGUUGGAACAGGAUUUCAGAUGGUGUUUCUCAUAAGGAGAACUCCCAAGAUCUCAUGAUUAUGUAGACUAAUUCCUGACUCAAGACAGCAGAGAUAGGCCAUGGGACCAGGCAUCACUAAUGCACAAGACAAAGGUCAGAUGGAAAUUGGAAAGGAGAUAUAAGAGAAAAGGAGAGAAGUGACUGAGGCCUUUCAGUUCUAAUCUGACUAUAAAUUGCU